GUUUUAAUAAUUUAAAUAAAAAUUUUAGUCUUGUAAACUAAAUUUAGGCUAAUCCUUUAAAACU
This 64-nucleotide transfer RNA is filed under the name Roxasellana stellata. RNAcentral's name for it is "tRNA-Thr". Lineage: Eukaryota; Metazoa; Arthropoda; Insecta; Hemiptera; Cicadellidae. The record is from RNAcentral.